RNAcentral lists this ribosomal RNA (254 nucleotides) under uncultured bacterium. Its description in RNAcentral is "partial 16S ribosomal RNA". It matches the Rfam family "Bacterial small subunit ribosomal RNA", at positions 524 to 776 of the family's 1533-position model. The record is from RNAcentral.
UACGUAGGGUGCGAGCGUUGUCCGGAAUUAUUGGGCGUAAAGAGCUCGUAGGCGGUGUGUCACGUCGUUCGUGAAAACCUGCAGCUUAACUGUGGGCGUGCGGUCGAUACGGGCAUCGCUGGAGUUCGGCAGGGGAGACUGGAAUUCCUGGUGUAGCGGUGAAAUGCGCAGAUAUCAGGAAGAGCACCCGUGGCUAAGGCGGUUCUCUAGUACGGUACUGACGCUGAGACGCGAAAGCGUGGGGAGCGAACAGG